This 549-nucleotide long non-coding RNA is filed under the name Gossypium barbadense (sea-island cotton). RNAcentral describes it as "long non-coding RNA (GBAR_LNC021850)". The record is from RNAcentral. Lineage: Eukaryota; Viridiplantae; Streptophyta; Magnoliopsida; Malvales; Malvaceae.
CUUCCCCAUUGUCAUCCUCCGUUUGCAAGCUCUGAUCAUCCCUGUAAUUCAUCAAUGUACAUACGUACGUAAGUAAAAAUGGUGCUUUCCUUUUAAUAUACCGACCCAUGUUCAUUCCCCAUGCUGAAUUAACGUUAGAAUGAAAGGUGAAAUGCAGGAAUAUAACUCAUCGUCCUUUGGACUACGUACGUACGUUGAUACGUAUACAAGGAAGAGAGAUCAUCACAGAUGGUGCUGUGGGGUUUUCACUUUUAAUUCUGGGUCAUCUUCGGCCAAGUUAUUAAGAUUUGACAGUAAAAAUUUGUUUGAUUUUUUUAAAGUUAUUUUUAUAGUUAUUGCAACAUUAUGCGAUCCUUACUAACACUUUAACUUUUUAAAUAAAAAUAUUGUUGUUCAUUCUAAAUGACAAUUUCUAUAAUUAAAUGUAACAUCUAUUUGAAAGAAUAAUCAUCACCUUUUUAUAUUUAUUACGAUAUUACAUGGUUGUUGUCUAAACUCAAAAGCAAUAUUUUUUCGUUUAACAUUUCUUUAUAAUUAAGCACAACAUUU